Molecule: ribosomal RNA, 454 nt
Filed under: uncultured bacterium
Lineage: Bacteria
Description: partial 16S ribosomal RNA
Rfam family: Bacterial small subunit ribosomal RNA
Source: RNAcentral
GAUGAACGCUGACAGAAUGCUUAACACAUGCAAGUCAACUUGAACUUCGGUUUGGGUGGCGGACGGGUGAGUAACGCGUAAAGAACUUGCCUCACAGUUAGGGACAACAUUUGGAAACGAAUGCUAAUACCUGAUAUUAUGAUUUUAGGGCAUCCUAGAAUUAUGAAAGCUAUAUGCGCUGUGAGAGGGCUUUGCGUCCCAUUAGCUAGUUGGAGAGGUAACGGCUCACCAAGGCGAUGAUGGGUAGCCGGCCUGAGAGGGUGAACGGCCACAAGGGGACUGAGACACGGCCCUUACUCCUACGGGAGGCAGCAGUGGGGAAUAUUGGACAAUGGACCAAGAGUCUGAUCCAGCAAUUCUGUGUGAACGAUGAAGUUUUUCGGAAUGUAAAGUGCUUUCAGUUGGGAAGAAAAAAAUGACGGUACCAACAGAAGAAGUGACGGCUAAAUACGUG